CCCCUAGAUGUUCUGGGCCGCACGCGCGCUACACUGAACAGUUCAACAAGUCUUAACCUUGGCCGAUAGGUCUGGGUAAUCUUUGAACGCUGUUCGUGAUUGGGAUAGACCUUUGCAAUUAUGGGUCUUCAACGAGGAAUUCCUAGUAAACGCAAGUCAUCAGCUUGCAUUGAUUACGUCCCUGCCCUUUGUACACACCGCACGUCGCACCUACCGAUUGAAUGGUCCGGUGAAAUCUCGGGACGGCGGCUUGGUCGCUUGCGUCCGACUGCUGAAACUUGAUUAAACCAUAUCAUUUAGAGGAAGGUGAAGUCGUANCA
RNAcentral lists this ribosomal RNA (320 nucleotides) under uncultured eukaryote. RNAcentral's name for it is "partial 18S ribosomal RNA". It matches the Rfam family "Eukaryotic small subunit ribosomal RNA", at positions 1470 to 1796 of the family's 1831-position model. The record is from RNAcentral.